GUGGGGAAUUUUGGACAAUGGGCGCAAGCCUGAUCCAGCCAUUCCGCGUGCAGGAUGAAGGCCCUCGGGUUGUAAACUGCUUUUGGACGGAACGAAAAGGCGCCGGUUAAUACCUGGCGCUCAUGACGGUACCGUCAGAAUAAGCACCGGCUAACUACGUGCCAGCAGCCGCGGUAAUACGUAGGGUGCGAGCGUUAAUCGGAAUUACUGGGCGUAAAGCGUGCGCAGGCGGUGAUGUAAGACAGGUGUGAAAUCCCCGGGCUUAACCUGGGAACUGCAUUUGUGACUGCAUCGCUGGAGUGCGGCAGAGGGGGAUGGAAUUCCGCGUGUAGCAGUGAAAUGCGUAGAUAUGCGGAGGAACACCGAUGGCGAAGGCAAUCCCCUGGGCCUGCACUGACGCUCAUGCACGAAAGCGUGGGGAGCAAACAGG
RNAcentral lists this ribosomal RNA (430 nucleotides) under uncultured bacterium. Its description in RNAcentral is "bacterial SSU rRNA". It matches the Rfam family "Bacterial small subunit ribosomal RNA", at positions 354 to 776 of the family's 1533-position model. The record is from RNAcentral.